This 432-nucleotide ribosomal RNA is filed under the name uncultured bacterium. Its description in RNAcentral is "partial 16S ribosomal RNA". It matches the Rfam family "Bacterial small subunit ribosomal RNA", at positions 29 to 507 of the family's 1533-position model. The record is from RNAcentral.
ACGAACGCUGGCGGCAUGCCUAACCCAUGCCAGUCGAACGAGACCUUCGGGUCUAGUGGCGCACGGGUGCGUCACGCGUAGGAACCUGCCCUUAGGUUCGGAAUAACUCCCCGAAAGGGGUGCUAAUACCGGAUAAUGUCUUCGGACCAAAGAUUUAUCGCCUUUGGAUGGGCCCGCGUUGGAUUAGCUAGUUGGUAGGGUAAAAGCCUACCAAGGCGACGAUCCAUAGCUGGUCUGAGAGGAUGAUCAGCCACACUGGGACUGAGACACGGCCCAGACUCCUACGGGAAGCAGCAGUGGGGAAUAUUGGACAAUGGGCGAAAGCCUGAUCCAGCAAUGCCGCGUGAGUGAUGAAGGCCUUAGGGUUGUAAAGCUCUUUUACCCGGGAUGAUAAUGACAGUACCGGGAGAAUAAGCUCCGGCUAACUCCGUG